This 620-nucleotide ribosomal RNA is filed under the name Amphogeus nigricans. Its description in RNAcentral is "partial 16S ribosomal RNA". The stretch from base 383 to 541 matches the Rfam family "Bacterial large subunit ribosomal RNA", at positions 2473 to 2632 of the family's 2925-position model. The record is from RNAcentral. Lineage: Eukaryota; Metazoa; Arthropoda; Insecta; Coleoptera; Leiodidae.
GUCUUAUUGAUAAUAAUUUUAAGUCUAAUCUGCCCAGUGAUUUAUUAAAUGGCUGCAGUAUUUUAACUGUACAAAGGUAGCAUAAUAAUUAGUUUCUUAAUUAGGAACUGGAAUGAAAGAUUGAACGAGACAAUAACUGUCUUAAUAUAAAUUUAAGAAUUUUAUUUUUAAGUUAAAAAGCUUAAAUUAUUUUAAAAGACGAGAAGACCCUAUAGAAUUUUAUAUUAUUUUUAUAUUUAAAUUAUAGAAUUAAAAUUUUAAAUUUUAUUAAAGGUAUUUAGUUGGGGUGAUUGAAAAAUUUAUUUAACUUUUUUUUGUAAUUUACAUUUAUUUAUGUUUUGUUGAUCCAAUAUUUUUGAUUAUAAGAUUAAAUUACCUUAGGGAUAACAGCGUAAUUUUUUUAGAGAGUUCUUAUCGAUAAAAAAGAUUGCGACCUCGAUGUUGGAUUAAAGUUAAUUUUUGAUGUAGAAGUUAAAAUAUUAGGUCUGUUCGACCUUUAAUACUUUACAUGAUCUGAGUUUAAAUCGGCGUGAGCCAGGUUGGAUUCUAUCUUUAAAUAGUUAUUAUAUUUUAGUACGAAAGGACCAGAUAUUAUUUAUAUUAAAUUUAAGGGAAUAUUA